Molecule: ribosomal RNA, 229 nt
Filed under: uncultured bacterium
Lineage: Bacteria
Description: partial 16S ribosomal RNA
Rfam family: Bacterial small subunit ribosomal RNA
Source: RNAcentral
UGCGUAGGCGGACUAAUAAGUCAGUGGUGAAAUCUUUCGGCUCAACCGAGAAACUGCCAUUGAUACUGUUAGUCUUGAGUUCGGUUGAGGUGGGCGGAAUGUGUAAUGUAGCGGUGAAAUGCUUAGAUAUUACACAGAACACCAAUUGCGUAGGCAGCUUACUAGACCGACACUGACGCUGAGGCACGAAAGCGUGGGGAGCGAACAGGAUUAGAUACCCUGGUAGUCC